UACGUAGGGGGCGAGCGUUAUCCGGAUUUAUUGGGCGUAAAGGGUGUGUAGGCGGUUUAUUAAGUCUAAAAUUAAAUUCCAAGGCUUAACCUUGGUUCGUUUUAGAAACUGGUAGACUUGAGUGCAGUAGAGGCAAGUGGAAUUUCUAGUGUAGCGGUUAAAUGCGUAGAUAUUAGAAGGAACACCAGUGGCGAAGGCGGCUUGCUGGGCUGUUACUGACGCUGAGACACGAAAGCGUGGGGAGCAAAUA
This 250-nucleotide ribosomal RNA is filed under the name uncultured prokaryote. Its description in RNAcentral is "partial 16S ribosomal RNA". It matches the Rfam family "Bacterial small subunit ribosomal RNA", at positions 524 to 774 of the family's 1533-position model. The record is from RNAcentral.